UGCCGCGUGCAGGAAGAAGGCCUUCUGGGUUGUAAACUGCUUUUGCCAGGGGAUAAAAUGACCUUGCGAGGUUAAUUGAAGGUACCUGGUGAAUAAGCCACGGCUAACUACGUGCCAGCAGCCGCGGUAAUACGUAGGUGGCAAGCGUUGUCCGGAUUUAUUGGGUUUAAAGGGUGCGUAGGCGGCCCUGUAAGUCAGUGCUGAAAUAUUCCAGCUUAACUGGGAGGGUGGCAUUGAUACUGCGGGGCUAGAGUACAGAUGAGGUAGGCGGAAUUGACGGUGUAGCGGUGAAAUGCUUAGAUAUCGUCAAGAACACCUAUAGCGAAGGCAGCUUACUAGGCUGUAACUGACGCUGAGGCACGAAAGUGUGGGGAUCAAACAGGAUUAGAUACCCUGGUAGUCCACACUGUAAACGUUGAUUACUCGCUGUGUGCGAUAUACAGUACGCGGCCAAGCGAAAGCGCUAAGUAAUCCACCUGGGGAGUACGCCGGCAACGGUG
This 500-nucleotide ribosomal RNA is filed under the name uncultured Bacteroidota bacterium. RNAcentral describes it as "bacterial SSU rRNA". It matches the Rfam family "Bacterial small subunit ribosomal RNA", at positions 395 to 896 of the family's 1533-position model. The record is from RNAcentral. Lineage: Bacteria; Pseudomonadati; Bacteroidota.